This 523-nucleotide ribosomal RNA is filed under the name uncultured bacterium. Its description in RNAcentral is "partial 16S ribosomal RNA". It matches the Rfam family "Bacterial small subunit ribosomal RNA", at positions 28 to 523 of the family's 1533-position model. The record is from RNAcentral.
GACGAACGCUGGCGGCGUGCUUAACACAUGCAAGUCGAACGAGACGAUUGAAAGCUUGCUUUUAAUCGUCGAGUGGCAAACGGGUGAGUAACGCGUAGACAACCUGCCUUUGAGAUGGGGACAACAGUUCGAAAGGACUGCUAAUACCGAAUGUUGUAUAUUUUCCACAUGGAAGAUAUAUUAAAGAUGGCCUCUAUUUAUAAGCUAUCGCUCAAAGAUGGGUCUGCGUCUGAUUAGCUAGUUGGUGGGGUAACGGCCUACCAAGGCGACGAUAAGUAGCCGGUCUGAGAGGAUGAACGGCCACAUUGGGACUGAGACACGGCCCAGACUCCUACGGGAGGCAGCAGUGGGGAAUCUUCCACAAUGGACGAAAGUCUGAUGGAGCAACGCCGCGUGAGUGAAGAAGGGUUUCGGCUCGUAAAGCACUUUAAGUUGGGAGGAAGGGCUCAUAGCGAAUACCUGUGAGUUUUGACGUUACCAACAGAAUAAGCACCGGCUAACUUCGUGCCAGCAGCCGCCGUAA